UGGGGAAUAUUGCACAAUGGGGGAAACCCUGAUGCAGCCAUGCCGCGUGUGUGAAGAAGGCCUUCGGGUUGUAAAGCACUUUCAGCGGGGAGGAAGGGGAGCAAGCUAAUACCUUGUUUCAUUGACGUUACCCGCAGAAGAAGCACCGGCUAACUCCGUGCCAGCAGCCGCGGUAAUACGGAGGGUGCAAGCGUUAAUCGGAAUUACUGGGCGUAAAGCGCACGCAGGCGGUUGGAUAAGCUAGAUGUGAAAGCCCCGGGCUCAACCUGGGAAUAGCAUUUAGAACUGUCCGACUAGAGUCUUGUAGAGGGGGGUAGAAUUCCAGGUGUAGCGGUGAAAUGCGUAGAGAUCUGGAGGAAUACCGGUGGCGAAGGCAAUCCCCUGGGCCUGUACUGACGCU
This 400-nucleotide ribosomal RNA is filed under the name uncultured bacterium. Its description in RNAcentral is "bacterial SSU rRNA". It matches the Rfam family "Bacterial small subunit ribosomal RNA", at positions 355 to 747 of the family's 1533-position model. The record is from RNAcentral.